GAUGAACGCUGGCGGCGUGCCUAAUACAUGCAAGUCGAGCGAACAGACGAGGUGCUUGCUCCUCUGACGUUAGCGGCGGACGGGUGAGUAACACGUGGAUAACCUACCUAUAAGACUGGGAUAACUUCGGGAAACCGGAGCUAAUACCGGAUAAUAUAUUGAACCGCAUGGUUCAAUAGUGAAAGACGGUUUUGCUGUCACUUAUAGAUGGAUCCGCGCCGCAUUAGCUAGUUGGUAAGGUAACGGCUUACCAAGGCAACGAUGCGUAGCCGACCUGAGAGGGUGAUCAGCCACACUGGAACUGAGACACGGUCCAGACUCCUACGGGAGGCAGCAGUAGGGAAUCUUCCGCAAUGGGCGAAAGCCUGACGGAGCAACGCCGCGUGAGUGAUGAAGGUCUUCGGAUCGUAAAACUCUGUUAUUAGGGAAGAACAAAUGUGUAAGUAACUAUGCACGUCUUGACGGUACCUAAUCAGAAAGCCACGGCUAACUACGUG
This 497-nucleotide ribosomal RNA is filed under the name uncultured bacterium. RNAcentral describes it as "partial 16S ribosomal RNA". It matches the Rfam family "Bacterial small subunit ribosomal RNA", at positions 28 to 507 of the family's 1533-position model. The record is from RNAcentral.